This 600-nucleotide ribosomal RNA is filed under the name uncultured bacterium. RNAcentral describes it as "bacterial SSU rRNA". It matches the Rfam family "Bacterial small subunit ribosomal RNA", at positions 737 to 1341 of the family's 1533-position model. The record is from RNAcentral.
UAACUGACGCUAAAGCUCGAAGGUGCGGGUAUCGAACAGGAUUAGAUACCCUGGUAGUCCGCACGGUAAACGAUGGAUGCCCGCUGUUGGCGAUACAAUGUCAGCGGCCAAGCGAAAGCGUUAAGCAUCCCACCUGGGGAGUACGCCGGCAACGGUGAAACUCAAAGGAAUUGACGGGGGCCCGCACAAGCGGAGGAACAUGUGGUUUAAUUCGAUGAUACGCGAGGAACCUUACCCGGGCUUGAACUGCAGCAGAACGAUUCAGAGAUGAUGAGGCCCUUCGGGGCUGCUGUGGAGGUGCUGCAUGGUUGUCGUCAGCUCGUGCCGUGAGGUGUCGGCUUAAGUGCCAUAACGAGCGCAACCCUUUUCGCCAGUUGCCAGCAUGUUGAGGUGGGCACUCUGGGGAUACUGCCACCGUAAGGUGUGAGGAAGGUGGGGAUGACGUCAAAUCAGCACGGCCCUUACGUCCGGGGCUACACACGUGUUACAAUGGGGCAUACAGAAGGCCGGUCGCCCGCAAGAGCGAUCAAAUCUUAAAAGUGUCCCUCAGUUCGGAUUGGGGUCUGCAACCCGACCCCAUGAAGCUGGAUUCGCUAGUAA